ACGGAGGCAGCAGUGGGGAAUAUUGCGCAAUGGGGGCAACCCUGACGCAGCAACGCCGCGUGAAGGAAGGAGGUCUUCGGAUUGUAAACUUUUGUCUUUGGGGACGAAUCAAUGACGGUACCCAAGGAGGAAGCUCCGGCUAACUACGUUCCAGCAGCCGCGGUAAUACGUAGGGAGCGAGCGUUGUCCGGAGUUACUGGGUGUAAAGGGUGCGUAGGCGGGUAUGCAAGUCACAUGUGAAAUACCGAGGCUCAACUUCGGGGCUGCAUGAGAAACUGUAUAUCUUGAGUGCAGGAGAGGUAAGCGGAAUUCCUAGUGUAGCGGUGAAAUGCGUAGAUAUUAGGAGGAACACCAGUGGCGAAGGCGGCUUACUGGACUGUAACUGACGCUGAGGCACGAAAGCGUGGGGAGCGAACAGGAUUAGAUACCCUGGUA
Molecule: ribosomal RNA, 435 nt
Filed under: uncultured Oscillospiraceae bacterium
Lineage: Bacteria; Bacillati; Bacillota; Clostridia; Eubacteriales; Oscillospiraceae
Description: partial 16S ribosomal RNA
Rfam family: Bacterial small subunit ribosomal RNA
Source: RNAcentral